Non-coding RNA from Danio rerio (zebrafish), 1138 nucleotides. The record is from RefSeq and is a predicted model, not a curated record. Lineage: Eukaryota; Metazoa; Chordata; Actinopteri; Cypriniformes; Danionidae.
CUUAACCCUGCGUUUUUGUCGAGAUUCCCCCGUACUUUACCAUUUAAUCCUUCUAUCACGUUUAUCCCACUUGAUUCCUCAGUUAUAUCACUGGGUGCUGUUAAUGCUCCGGUCAGCUAAUCAAAAACUUGUCUGCAUAUUUACUUAUGGGUGGGUCACAGGUGGAUUAGAUCAAUCUUUGGUUAAGCAAACUUUAACUACAAAAAACUGACUACAAAGUUGCAGAUAUCUUCAUUCUCACAAUACCAAACUAAGCUUUUUGCAUAAUAUGCGUUUAUACAAACAUUUAAGCAACACAUUCAUAAUCAUGAUGAUUAUUUUUGCCAGUGCAAUGCGUGCGCUAGUUUUAUUCAUCCAUUUACGUUGAUGAUCAUGUUAAUGGAUGGCCGCAAACUUCACAGUUCAUCGGGCACAGUUAACAACCUUUCUGAUUAUUGCAGCACAUUAACAAAUAGACUCAGAAUCGCUUAACUAUCAUAACCAUAUUGUGUUUCGUUUAUAGCUUUAAUUUCAGAUCAUUUCAACCAAUUAUUGCAGUGAAAAAAAAUGAUGCAUCAACACAUCAAAGCACUCUCUUGCUGACAUCAGGGCUUUCCUGUUGCAGUCGGGUGUGCACGUCUCCAACACCACUAUAAGACGACACUAUAGACGUCAAAGACCUGUAGGCCUUCCUAGAAAAACAACUGCAAGGAAAAUGAACAGUGCUGCACUUAAAACGAUUGACGAAAAACUGCACAAGGACAAUGAGCGAUCUGCUAAAAAGAUUCAGAGCGAGCUUCUGUUUAGAAUACAGUUAAAAGCAUCAGUCUGCAAUAUUAGAAAACCAGUAAAACAACUCAGGUGGACCUAUGGAAAAGCCAGGAAUUAUCGACAGCUGUUUUUACAAAGACACUAUAGUAAAAUUUAAUCAGGUUCCAUAUGUAAAACAACACUUUAAAGAACCACAUCGCUUCUUCCAAGGUAGAUGCAGUAUGUAGGCCUACUGUACCAACUGUGUGUGUGUGUGUGUGUGUGUGUGUGUACAUGUUCACUGCUGUGUGUGUGUGUGUGCACACGUUCACUGCUGUGUGAAUGUGUUGAAUUUUUUUAUCAAUCUUGAUGAUUAUAGAAUAAAUAGUAAAGUUAACACAUUGCUUAA